RNAcentral lists this ribosomal RNA (450 nucleotides) under uncultured bacterium. Its description in RNAcentral is "partial 16S ribosomal RNA". It matches the Rfam family "Bacterial small subunit ribosomal RNA", at positions 354 to 796 of the family's 1533-position model. The record is from RNAcentral.
GUGGGGAAUAUUGGACAAUGGGCGAAAGCCUGAUCCAGCCAUGCCGCGUGUGUGAAGAAGGUCUUCGGAUUGUAAAGCACUUUAAGUUGGGAGGAAGGGCAGUAAGUUAAUACCUUGCUGUUUUGACGUUACCAACAGAAUAAGCACCGGCUAACUUCGUGCCAGCAGCCGCGGUAAUACGAAGGGUGCAAGCGUUAAUCGGAAUUACUGGGCGUAAAGCGCGCGUAGGUGGUUUUGUAAGUUGGAGGUGAGAUCCCCGGGCUCAACCUGGGAACUGCCUCCAAAACUGCAUGACUAGAGUACGGUAGAGGGUAGUGGAAUUUCCUGUGUAGCGGUGAAAUGCGUAGAUAUAGGAAGGAACACCAGUGGCGAAGGCGACUACCUGGACUGAUACUGACACUGAGGUGCGAAAGCGUGGGGAGCAAACAGGAUUAGAUACCCUUGUAGUCC